Molecule: long non-coding RNA, 296 nt
Organism: Rana temporaria (common frog)
Lineage: Eukaryota; Metazoa; Chordata; Amphibia; Anura; Ranidae
Exons: 3
Source: RefSeq, a predicted model, not a curated record
AUAUUAAUUACACCUUCCUGGCCAUGAUUACCUUGGGAUGUCCACACCCUCCAUCUGUCUCACCAUCCCCGCAAUUUAGUGAACCAACAUAUGGUUUGGCAUUCAUACCACCAUCAUUUAACUAUUUGAGUUUUCCGCAAUAUCCCCCUUGUCCGUCGCGGGGGGGUUACCCCACCUGGGUUGCCUGAUACCACACUUCACCACCUAAUUAUGGAUUGGUUCUCUUGAGAAAGCGGUUUCACCGCGAAACUAGUCGAGGCAUAGACCAGUCUAUAUGUUUGCAACAACAAAAUUGC